GGAAUUUCCUGGUGAGCACCUCCAAGGUGUUGGGACAUUUUGCAGCUGGCCAAGUUCUACCAAAGUGAGCAAUUGUUGCUUCUGAUCUCCAGAACGGCCUUUUGCUCAUCAGUUCCACUUCGUGGAUUUUCGUCCAAUUCAUUGCAGAAUUUGGAGAAGUGAACAUCUGGAAGGAUGGCUAUGUUCUUGCUGACAUCUUGGUUCAAGAAUAUGAAAUGAAGCUGUUGAAAAGCAGGAAAAGUGAAUUAUGCACUCUGGCUCAUUCAGGCUCAAAUGGAAGGGAUAGUUUGAUUCAUCAAUCAACCAAGAAAAAUCCUGUGUAGCAGCCUAGAUUAUAAGG
Long non-coding RNA from Crotalus tigris (Tiger rattlesnake), 340 nucleotides. RefSeq lists it as uncharacterized. The record is from RefSeq and is a predicted model, not a curated record. Lineage: Eukaryota; Metazoa; Chordata; Lepidosauria; Squamata; Viperidae. The transcript is spliced from 3 exons.